RNAcentral lists this ribosomal RNA (253 nucleotides) under uncultured prokaryote. Its description in RNAcentral is "partial 16S ribosomal RNA". It matches the Rfam family "Bacterial small subunit ribosomal RNA", at positions 525 to 777 of the family's 1533-position model. The record is from RNAcentral.
ACAGAGGUCCCAAGCGUUGUUCGGAUUCACUGGGCGUAAAGGGUGCGUAGGUGGCUGGGAAAGUUUGAUGUGAAAGCUCAGGGCUCAACCCUGAAAUGGCAUUGUAUACUACUUAGCUGGAGGUUUGGAGGGGGGACUGGAAUUCUCGGUGUAGCAGUGAAAUGCGUAGAUAUCGAGAGGAACACCAGUGGCGAAGGCGAGUCCCUGGACAACACCUGACACUGAGGCACGAAAGCUAGGGGAGCAAACAGGA